AAGACAACAUGGGCUAACACAAUAGGGUGUAACCCUCCCCUUUCAUGAUUCUGACCUUAAAGGUGAAACUUCUAUCAUAUUGGUGAAUACUGAGACCCACCACACCCUUUAAAAGUUAUGGGGAGAAUAACCAAAGUACGUAUAAUUGGCGAUAACUGUUUUUCAAAACAAAAGGAAUAUUGAUCAGAUAUAUUGGCAUGGUCAACAAGAUAUAUGUGAAGCAAAAACUAGAAAAAGAAAAAGUAAGAGAAGGGAAUUUCAUUUCUAAGGCAGACAUAAAGUCUCAACAUUAACCCAUCUCUCACAAUGGCAUGGGGAUUAAAGGGUUAAAGAUGUAUAUGGUAUCUCUCACUUCUAGCAUAGUGGUUCCUGGCAAAGGAUAAGAACAAAUGUAUUAACAAUAAUCAAGAAUAUUUUACUCAGAGUGUUCCAUUUCCUACUCGUAGUUAUGACUUUUGACUACAAAAGGGAGUACACAAUACUUUUCAAUUAGACAUGCACCUUCAGUUUCUAAACAUUUUAGUUUAAGCAGGAUUCAACCAAAAUAUUUGAAAUGCACUUUUUACUUUCUGAAUGAAUUCUACAAAGGGAUAUUUCAUUUGAAGGCCAUGAGGCAAAAUAUGAUUACAAAACCAAAUGUAGACAGGUGCAAUUGCAUAUAGAGAAAUGUAAUGAUUCACAAAUGAAGUUAUGAUGAUUGUAAAUACGAGAAGUAGACAAAAUAAGAAAAAUGAUUU
This 737-nucleotide unclassified non-coding RNA is filed under the name Hevea brasiliensis (rubber tree). The record is from RNAcentral. Lineage: Eukaryota; Viridiplantae; Streptophyta; Magnoliopsida; Malpighiales; Euphorbiaceae.